This 229-nucleotide ribosomal RNA is filed under the name uncultured bacterium. RNAcentral's name for it is "partial 16S ribosomal RNA". It matches the Rfam family "Bacterial small subunit ribosomal RNA", at positions 568 to 796 of the family's 1533-position model. The record is from RNAcentral.
CGCGUAGGCGGUCUUUUAAGUCAGAUGUGAAAGCCCGGGGCUUAACCUCGGAAGUGCAUUUGAAACUGGAGGACUUGAGUAUGGGAGAGGGAAGUGGAAUUCCUGGUGUAGAGGUGAAAUUCGUAGAUAUCAGGAGGAACAUCGGUGGCGAAGGCGACUUCCUGGACCAAUACUGACGCUGAGGCGCGAAGGCGUAGGGAGCAAACAGGAUUAGAUACCCUGGUAGUCC